Molecule: ribosomal RNA, 404 nt
Filed under: uncultured bacterium
Lineage: Bacteria
Description: partial 16S ribosomal RNA
Rfam family: Bacterial small subunit ribosomal RNA
Source: RNAcentral
GAUGAACGCUGACAGAAUGCUUAACACAUGCAAGUCAACUGUGGCGGACGGGUGAGUAACGCGUAAAGAACUUGCCUCACAAAUAGGGACAACAUUUGGAAACGAAUGCUAAUACCUGAUACUGUGAGAGAGCUUUGCGUCCCAUUAGCUAGUUGGCGAGGUAAAGGCUCACCAAGGAGAUGAUGGGUAGCCGGCCUGAGAGGGUGAUCGGCCACAAGUGGACUGAGACGCGGCCCUUACUCGAACGUGAGGCAGCAGUGGGGAAUAUAGGACAAUAGACCAAAGUCUUAUCAAGCAAUUCGGUGUGCACGAUGAUGUUUUCGGAAUGUAAAGUGCUUUCAGUAGGGAAGCGGUACCAACAGAAGAAGUGACGGCUAAAUACGUGCCAGCAGCCGCGGUAAUAC